GUGUCAGCAGCCGCGGUAAUACGUAGGGUGCAAGCGUUGUUCGGAAUCAUUGGGCGUAAAGCGCGUGUAGGCUGCUAGCUAAGUCGGGUGUGAAAUCCCUGGGCUCAACCGAGGAAGUGCAUUCGAAACUGGCUAGCUAGAGAGUGGUAGAGGAAGGUGGAAUUCCAAGUGUAGAGGUGAAAUUCGUAGAUAUUUGGAGGAAUACCGGUGGCGAAGGCGGCCUUCUGGGCCACUUCUGACGCUGAGACGCGAAAGCGUGGGGAGCAAACAGGAUUAGAAACCCCUGUAGUCC
This 292-nucleotide ribosomal RNA is filed under the name uncultured bacterium. RNAcentral's name for it is "partial 16S ribosomal RNA". It matches the Rfam family "Bacterial small subunit ribosomal RNA", at positions 505 to 796 of the family's 1533-position model. The record is from RNAcentral.